UUCUUUUGUGUUUUUCUUGUCUAAAAGUUGUGAUGAUAAAAAAUAAACAUUCUCAAAAUAUCCUAAAAACAAAAUAUAUCUUGAAUAUUUACAUGUUUUAUUAAGGAAUCUAGAUUCAUUUCUUUCUUUUUUUUUUUUUUUUUCUGAGACGGAGUCUUGCUCUGUCGCUCAGGCUGGAGUGUGGUGGCGCGAUCUCGGCUCACUGCAAGCUCUGCCUCCCAGGUUCACACCAUCCUCCUGCCUCAGCCUCCAGAGUAGCUGGGACUACAGGCACCUGCCACCACGCCCGGCUAGUUUUUUUGUAUUUUUAUUAGAGAUGGGGUUUCACUGUGUUAGCCAGGAUGGUCUCAAUCUCCUAACCUCGUGAUCCGACCACCUCGGCCUCCGAAAGUGCUGGGAUUACAGGCAUGAGCCACCGUGCCCGGCCUAGAUUCAUUUCUUUAAGAACAUUAUUUUUAAAAAGGAUGUAAUAAGUUUGUAGACAUAAAAUUGAAUGUGAUAUCACUCAUAUUUCCUUUUCUGGUUUUUAGGAAAAGAAACAGCACACUCAAAUAGUUUAAGCCUAUAGAGAUUUAUUAGGGGUUAAAGAUAACUUAAAAUUUGAUGGAAAGGUGAAGGCAGAUUUUCAACUGAACUUCAGGAAUGGCUCUCAGAACCAAACUGCAAAGAACCAAACUGCAAACUAGCUCCCUAAGGGUGAAACUCGGAAAUUUGAAAACACCGAAUCAGGCCAUUCUUCUGUUGCGAUCAGCUCUGGGCUUCCUGUCACCACCCAGCUUGCCCCUAUCUGCUUGGGACUGCCUAAUCAGCCAGAAGACCACAAAAAAGGGCACUCAUCCUUUGUCACCUGAAACAGGACAGAUGUGAAGCACUUUCAACAACUUGUGCUUGAGGCCUGGGAUUCUGUAGAGCAUGUUCCAGUGUACAAGAGGAUUCAAGUCCCUGGCAGCCUGCUUUCUAUCCAAAGCUGGGUCACCUCUCUUGGGACCACCAGGACAUUGAAUUGCUUUCCCAUUCCUGUGGACUUCUGAAAUGGGCCCACCUGAGACAAGAACCCAGAGUGCCUAGCACCUUUAGGCUGGGCACAGAACCACCCACCUAGGAACCGAUGACUGCAACCCAGGAGGAGACACAGAUGCCCCCAGAGAUGCCCCCAAGUCACAGCCUCCCUUGAGCCCUGCCAAUGCACUCCCUAACUGCCUCACUUGGCUGGAUCACCCUGCUCCAGGAACAGACAACUGGAGCCUGAGAAAUCAGAUGAUGGAGACCUACCAAGCAUCACCCUCCUCCUGCCUCCCAACAGCCACCACCCAGUGUUCCAAGUCUUGUUGGGAGUAGAGCCCAGGAGCAGUGGCUGAGUUGAUGCAAGGCUGCCUCUGCCACCUGCCUUUGGCCUCCUUGAGAUUUCUUUCACUGAGACUCUUCAAUGGGUGAUCCUGUGCCAAAAGGUUCCUGGAUGCUGUUCCAGGUGUUGAAGAAGGGUCAACCUAGGAUCAGUAUGGUGGCUUAUGCUGAACUGGGAAGAUGCAUGAGGAAGAAGCAGAGAGAACCAAGCAGUCACUUCGCAAGGCCAAUUCUGGAAGAGCACAUUUGGGGAAAAUGGGCUUAAGUAGAGCCAGGAAAGUUCUAGUGGAAAGACAGGAUUGGUCCAAAUGAAUUGAGUCUCCUAACUGGUGAGGCCAAUUCUGGAUGAGCAGAUUUGUGAGAAAUGGGCAAGGCCUUCCCUCUUCCAGGAUAUGUGGGUUUCCUUCAUCACAGUGGCCACCACAUGAAUUUCUAGGAUGAAGGGGUCAAAAUCUCCUGGCAACCUUGAGCUUAAAUUGUGUUUGUGUAACACCUUCCCUAAGGUUCCAAUAAAAUUACUAGGGGGUUUUACAGAGUGAAGUAGAAGGGACUGACAAAGACCCUCCUUGACCAAACCCUAGACACAGUCUCCUCACCCCUUUCCCACCUAUGCUUGGACCUUGGACAUUGCC
This 1976-nucleotide long non-coding RNA is filed under the name Homo sapiens (human). RNAcentral describes it as "HSALNT0087228". Lineage: Eukaryota; Metazoa; Chordata; Mammalia; Primates; Hominidae. The record is from RNAcentral.